GCAUAAUAAAUAGUCUUUUAAUUGAUGACUGGAAUGAAGGGUUUAAACUAAAAAGAAGGUUUUAUUUAAUUAUUUUGAAUUUAAAUUAAAAGUAAAAAUGCUUUUAUGGAGCUUUGGGACGAGAAGACCCUAGAAGCUUAAAAUACUUUGGAAUUUUUGGUUGGGGCAACAUUUGAAGAUAAAAAUUUUUAUAAAAAUUUUAUACUAAUAUAAACUAAGUUACUCUAGGGAUAACAGCAUAAUUUAAUUAACGAGUUCUUAUUAAUAAUUUAAGUUUGUGACCUCGAUGUUGAAUUAAUA
This 300-nucleotide ribosomal RNA is filed under the name Pristocnemus farinosus. RNAcentral describes it as "partial 16S ribosomal RNA". Lineage: Eukaryota; Metazoa; Arthropoda; Arachnida; Opiliones; Gonyleptidae. The record is from RNAcentral.